RNAcentral lists this ribosomal RNA (390 nucleotides) under uncultured bacterium. RNAcentral describes it as "bacterial SSU rRNA". It matches the Rfam family "Bacterial small subunit ribosomal RNA", at positions 32 to 399 of the family's 1533-position model. The record is from RNAcentral.
AAUCAACGCUGGCGGCGUGCCUCAGACAUGCAAGUCGAACGCGAAAGGUUCCUUCGGGGACCGAGUAGAGUGGCGCACGGGUGAGUAACACGUAGGUAAUUUGCCUUUGGGUGGGGAAUAACUCAGGGAAACUUGAGCUAAUACCGCAUAAUGCAGCGGCUCGACAUCGAGACAGUUGUUAAAGCGGGGGAUUCGCAAGAACCUCGCGCCUAAAGAGAAGCCUGCGGCAGAUUAGCUAGUUGGUAAGGUAAUGGCUUACCAAGGCGACGAUCUGUAACCGGCCUGAGAGGGCGGUCGGUCACACUGACACUGACAUACGGGUCAGACUCCUACGGGAGGCAGCAGUCGGGAAUUUUGGGCAAUGGGCGAAAGCCUGACCCAGCAACGCCG